Molecule: long non-coding RNA, 1166 nt
Filed under: Nicotiana benthamiana
Lineage: Eukaryota; Viridiplantae; Streptophyta; Magnoliopsida; Solanales; Solanaceae
Description: long non-coding RNA (NBEN_LNC010019)
Source: RNAcentral
AGAAAAAUUAAGGAAAUAUUAGUGUUAGAAGUGAAAAAACUUUAGACAAGGAAAAACAAUUCAAAAAGUUAAUUGAAGAAAAGAAAUAGAGGCAAAAAGAGUUAAGAACAUAUAAAAUAAUAUACAUUUAAAAAAAUAUGAAUCUAUAUAUAGCAUGAAAAGAAAAGCAUAUUAUAAUCUCACUUCGAUAUAUGAGAAAAUCACGACUCAAAGUUAUUACAAUUGUAAAAUAUAAAUGUUUAUAAUAAAAAACAGAUAUCAAAAUCUUUAUGUUUUUAUUUGAAAAAAAUCAUAACUUCAACUUAUAUAACAUACACCUAAAGAUGACAAGAUCAAAGACCAUUAACGAGAAUUGUGAAAUACGCUUUACUUUGAUUUUCGCCUCAUCAUUUUGACAACUCCUCUUAAACAGUCUUCAUCACACCUGUAUGGAAUAGAGGAGUGUGAAUUCACAGUCUUCUGUUUGUUCUUUAGGAAAUGCUACAUAUUCUACACAAAAUAAAAUAAAAUAGAGGAUUGUAAUUUACUUAUAUACAUAGUUAAAUUUUGUUAGUGAGGAGGUUGAUUUACCUGGUCAUGAGUGCUGAUGAGUAAAAUAGGGAAAGAGAGAGAUGGAGAAAACCAAGAAGAUGGUGUAGGAGGAGAAGUUGGAAGGCCAUUGAUCAUAGACGUGAUACAUCUCUUUAAUUAGAAUGAUAAUUUAUAUAAUUCCUCCUUUUUUGCAUUAAAAUUUUUGAAAACAUAUAUCUUCUCUUGCUGAAAAGUCACACCGUUUACAACACUAUUUAUGUAUUUGAGUAGUUCAGGACCGUUUAACAAUCGAAAAGUCAAUAUCAAAAGCCCUAAAGUCCUCCCUGCGUGGAAAGCCAACUCCAAAUCUGUGCAAAAGAUUAAUUAUCCUCUAAGAGGAUUCCCUUUUCAUGUGGUAAUAAACUAUGGAAUGUUGCACAAAUCGAAGGGGAAUGAUCAGAGGGAUACAAUAAAGGGAACUGGCAAUUUACUAUAAUUAUACAACGAAUAUUUGAAGUAUACAGAAUAUCUUUGUGUAUUUACCUUAAAUAAAAAUAAAGAAUAGAGUUUAAACCAUACCUUAGUAUAAAUUUUCUUUACCAUUCUAUAGCAUUUGACAUAGAGAUAGCUCAAAUUUAUAAGUAAAAUAUAAAGUU